This is a long non-coding RNA of Elaeis guineensis (African oil palm), 729 nucleotides long. RefSeq lists it as uncharacterized. The record is from RefSeq and is a predicted model, not a curated record. Lineage: Eukaryota; Viridiplantae; Streptophyta; Magnoliopsida; Arecales; Arecaceae.
UUGAAAAUAAAACGAAAAAAUUGUUAUCAACAAACUUAAUAACAAGACAUAAAAUAGUCCGGAUUAAUUGGUUUAGGAUCAAGAGAGUGGAAAUGAGAAUAAUGAUGAAAAUAUCGUUCUAAGUAUCUUCUAGUCUAAUUCCAUAAAUCAUGGAAGGCGAAGAAUCUAUACAUGGAUCUGGCCCCUUCUCAAGCUCUCUCUCUUUUUUCUAUUGCUUUUAACUUUCUACUCGGAUGCAGCCUUCGCUCUCUACCGCGCGUGUGGCGACUCCAAAAACAUCCCGGGAACGAUGCCCUCGGUCGCCUCUUCGGCGCCGUCGGGGACGACAUCGACGCCGCCCUCCAGAAAUCGGAGAUGGCGUCGUAGGAAAAGAAUAGGGCGGCGGCGGUGGCCAUGAACUCCGGGGCCGGGGGGACCAACGCCCGGUGAUAAGAGGACGAUGGCGGUGGUGGAGGCACUGCAUAUUUUGGCGGUGGUGAUAUUGACAUGACGGUGAUGUUUCAAUUUUAGGAUGAUCCAGACGUCACUUUAUAUUUGUGAUUGCACGAAUUAUAUUUAUUUAUUUGCUGUUUAAUUUGUUGGCGAGUCAUUGGCAUGAACAUGGGGAAGCACUUGCACCAUUAUUGUAAUAUUUUUUCAAGGAAGCAAUGUUAUUCUGACAUUUGAUUUGGUCCAUGUAAAUACUUUCUCGGGGUUGAUAAUGCUUUUUGAAUCAUUUGAUUAUUCUCA